RNAcentral lists this long non-coding RNA (452 nucleotides) under Pan troglodytes (chimpanzee). Its description in RNAcentral is "long non-coding RNA NONPTRT011031". The record is from RNAcentral. Lineage: Eukaryota; Metazoa; Chordata; Mammalia; Primates; Hominidae.
GUGCUUUGUAUUGAGACACUGCUAGUUUAAUUUUAGCAUGGUGAAUACUGAGGCCAUGUUUUCUUAAGCAUUCAGGUGAUGAAAAUGAGGAAAUGGUGUUGCAAUAUCAAUGCCCACGUGACCCAAAUGGCCAUGUUAUUUUAAUGACAGGAGGAGUGACACAGACAACUGGAUGAGGGAGGCUGUAACUGAAAUAUCACGUGGGUGAACAAAGGGAGAAAUGUCGAUGGCAGCUGUGUUGACCCUUUACAACAUGCAGUGGAUUCUGCCAGAUCCCACCAACAAUCAUGCUUUCUACAGUAACCAAGUGCUGCAUCCAAUCAUGGCAAUGAAAAACAGUUCUCCUAACUUGUAAAUACUUUGAUUUGAAAAAAUGGAGUUUCAAAUCAUCCUUUUUAUUUCUAUGAAGAUUUUAAUCCACCUGCAGAAAAAAAAAAGAAUGUUGAUGUUAU